Molecule: ribosomal RNA, 623 nt
Filed under: Isoptericola chiayiensis
Lineage: Bacteria; Bacillati; Actinomycetota; Actinomycetes; Micrococcales; Promicromonosporaceae
Description: bacterial SSU rRNA
Rfam family: Bacterial small subunit ribosomal RNA
Source: RNAcentral
GGAUCAGUGGCGAACGGGUGAGUAACACUUGAGCAACCUGCCCUCCACUUCGGGAUAACCCUGGGAAACGGGGUUAAAUACCGGAUAUGACACGCGGCCGCAUGGUGGUGUGUGGAAAGUUUUUCGGUGGGGGAUGGGCUCGCGGCCUAUCAGCUUGUUGGUGGGGUGAUGGCCUACCAAGGCGUCGACGGGUAGCCGGCCUGAGAGGGCGACCGGCCACACUGGGACUGAGACACGGCCCAGACUCCUACGGGAGGCAGCAGUGGGGAAUAUUGCACAAUGGGCGCAAGCCUGAUGCAGCGACGCCGCGUGAGGGAUGACGGCCUUCGGGUUGUAAACCUCUUUCAGCAGGGAAGAAGCGUAAGUGACGGUACCUGCAGAAGAAGCGCCGGCUAACUACGUGCCAGCAGCCGCGGUAAUACGUAGGGCGCAAGCGUUGUCCGGAAUUAUUGGGCGUAAAGAGCUCGUAGGCGGUUUGUCGCGUCUGGUGUGAAAUCCCGAGGCUCAACCUCGGGCNUGCAUCGGGUACGGGCAGACUAGAGUGCGGUAGGGGAGACUGGAAUUCCUGGUGUAGCGGUGGAAUNCGCAGNUAUCAGGAGGAACACCGAUGGCGAAGGCAGNNA